UGAUAUUUUUUUUUCUUUUUCUUUUUCUUUUUGAUUCUUUUAUUCCUUUUUUUUAUUCUUUUUCUUAUUCUCUUUCUUCUUUUAACCCUAGUCGUCGUUGGUCGGAGAGCUUCACCAUUAGUGCUUCAACAAAUACAAAACCACUAUCAAAUGAUAGGUCUCAACACCCUCUAUCCAUCAUUCGAUUUAGAUUUUCCCAAAAGGCGACCAAAACCUACAAAAUCCCAACCAAAAGUUCGAAGAUAAAAACCCCAAUCUAUCGGCGUCCACCGUUGGAUUGAUGCAAGCCCGAGAUAUGUUGCUCUCCUCGACCCUUCUCUAUUUUCACCGUUUGAAUUGUUGAAUGGAACUUCAAUGCCCAAAUAACUAAGAAGCCCUAAAAGAUAAGUUCUCUUUGAAAGACUCGUUGUAGGUAUCUCGGAUCAGAUUUGGACACGAGGAUCAUCAUUCGAGACCUCGAAAGUCAGGUGUGUGUUCUUUUACGAGAAAAUUAAGGCAAAAUCGAGCCUAGGUUAGAUUACAUGGCCAGCCACACAGGUGUGUGGGCCACACAGCCACCCUACACAACUAUGUCCCCUUGAAACCCUAGUUUUUCUCUUUUCAUACGGCCUAAGACCCCCCACAAGGCUAUGUCACCCCAAUAGGUUGAAGUUUCGAAUGCCAGACGACCACAGUCUCUCACACGGCCUAGCCACACGGCUGUGUACCCCUUUCACAUAGCCUAGGGCUUCUCACGCAAUCCGGUCACACGACUGUAUGUCCCUUGUAACUUAGAAAUUACAGCUUUAACCUAGAAUUUUAUGUUUUGAUCAGUUUAGUCCUUGAGUAGGUUUUGAACUAUUCUUAGUGAGUUAAAUUAUGCAAUUAGGUCCCCGGAAAAAGGAAAUAUGCUAAAAUCUAUGAUUGAUCGAAUUAAUGCGGUAUUUAUUAAUAUUUAUGAAUAUUUGCAUGAGUUAUGAAUAGUAUAUGUUACUUUUAUAUCUAUAUACUUGUGAUUGUAUGAAUGACAUGCCUUAUAUUACUGUCAAUCUGAAUACAUGAAAAACUUGAUUUCACUAUUGAUUUUCCAUGUAUUAGUACAUCAAAUGCUACCAUACGUGAUUUGUAUUAAAUAUGUCGCACUGCACUGCAUAGAUUAGGAUGAUGUGAUCGAAGGAAGUCUGGCAGUUUAUCUAUAAUAAUCACUUUUAUUGUGCACCCACAGUCGAAGGUAGAUUUCAACUGCAGGUACUGCUGUGUAUCCAUAGCCAAAGGUUGAUUUCAACGACAAGAUUAUGUUGUAGAAUCUACAGCCCAAAAGCAGUUUUCAUCUGCAACACUUUUUGCUGUGAACCUAUAGGCGAAGGUAGAUUCCAACUACAGGAACUUGUUGUGUGUCCACAGCCAAAUGGCAAUUAUUAUAUGCAAACUAGUAGUGGUUUAUCCACAUCUUGGGGUGUUGGAGAAGGGAGUUCUGGGGAACUCCCAUUAUAGUGUGUAUCAGUGAGGUAGGAUUUAUUCUGUUUAAACCCGAAAUUACAUAGCAUUUUUUAAAUUAUAUGCAUACAAAGCUGGAAAUUAUGUUAUGAGGUGUAUAUAUAUGCUUGAAUAUAUAUAUAUCUGUGUAUAUACAUGAUUAUUGUGGGCAAAUAUGAGAAUUUGGUUGUUCUGAAAA
This is a long non-coding RNA of Gossypium raimondii (Peruvian cotton), 1654 nucleotides long. RefSeq lists it as uncharacterized. The record is from RefSeq and is a predicted model, not a curated record. Lineage: Eukaryota; Viridiplantae; Streptophyta; Magnoliopsida; Malvales; Malvaceae. The transcript is spliced from 2 exons.